GAACGGCAGCACGGGAGCUUGCUCCUGGUGGCGAGUGGCGAACGGGUGAGUAAUGCGUCGGAACGUACCGAGUAAUGGGGGAUAACGCAGCGAAAGUUGUGCUAAUACCGCAUACGCCCUUUGGGGGAAAGCAGGGGAUCGCAAGACCUUGCGUUAUUCGAGCGGCCGACGUCUGAUUAGCUAGUUGGUGGGGUAAUGGCUCACCAAGGCGACGAUCAGUAGCGGGUCUGAGAGGAUGAUCCGCCACACUGGAACUGAGACACGGUCCAGACUCCUACGGGAGGCAGCAGUGGGGAAUUUUGGACAAUGGGGGCAACCCUGAUCCAGCCAUUCCGCGUGAGUGAAGAAGGCCUUCGGGUUGUAAAGCUCUUUCAGCUGGAACGAAACGGUAGUCUCUAACAUAGGCUGCUAAUGACGGUACCAGCAGAAGAAGCACCGGCUAACUACGUGCCAGCAGCCGCGGUAAUACGUAGGGUGCGAGCGUUAAUCGGAAUUACUGGGCGUAAAGCGUGCGCAGGCGGAUUGUUAAGCAAGACGUGAAAUCCCCGGGCUUAACCUGGGAAUGGCGUUUUGAACUGGCAGUCUAGAGUGUGUCAGAGGGGGGUAGAAUUCCACGUGUAGCAGUGAAAUGCGUAGAGAUGUGGAGGAAUACCGAUGGCGAAGGCAGCCCCCUGGGAUAACACUGACGCUCAUGUACGAA
This 700-nucleotide ribosomal RNA is filed under the name uncultured beta proteobacterium. RNAcentral describes it as "bacterial SSU rRNA". It matches the Rfam family "Bacterial small subunit ribosomal RNA", at positions 64 to 757 of the family's 1533-position model. Lineage: Bacteria; Pseudomonadati; Pseudomonadota; Betaproteobacteria. The record is from RNAcentral.